GGCAAUUCUCGGAUGACACAGCCCGGAAUUGGGCUCGCUCCUCUCUGGUUCAGGGGUGCGUCACCCGAGAACCACU
Molecule: non-coding RNA, 76 nt
Organism: Myotis lucifugus (little brown bat)
Lineage: Eukaryota; Metazoa; Chordata; Mammalia; Chiroptera; Vespertilionidae
Source: Rfam